Molecule: ribosomal RNA, 467 nt
Filed under: uncultured bacterium
Lineage: Bacteria
Description: partial 16S ribosomal RNA
Rfam family: Bacterial small subunit ribosomal RNA
Source: RNAcentral
GACGAACGCUGGCGGCGUGCUUAACACAUGCAAGUCGAACGGAAAGGCCCUGCUUUUGUGGGGUGCUCGAGUGGCGAACGGGUGAGUAACACGUGAGUAACCUGCCCUUGACUUUGGGAUAACUUCAGGAAACUGGAGCUAAUACCGGAUAGGAGCUCCUGCUGCAUGGUGGGGGUUGGAAAGUUUCGGCGGUUGGGGAUGGACUCGCGGCUUAUCAGCUUGUUGGUGGGGUAGUGGCUUACCAAGGCUUUGACGGGUAGCCGGCCUGAGAGGGUGACCGGCCACAUUGGGACUGAGAUACGGCCCAGACUCCUACGGGAGGCAGCAGUGGGGAAUAUUGCACAAUGGGCGGAAGCCUGAUGCAGCAACGCCGCGUGCGGGAGGACGGCCUUCGGGUGGUAAACCGCUUUCGCCUGUGACGAAGCGUGAGUGACGGUAAUGGGUAAAGAAGCACCGGCUAACUACGU